RNAcentral lists this transfer RNA (76 nucleotides) under Candidatus Amesiibacteriota bacterium. Its description in RNAcentral is "Candidatus Amesbacteria bacterium (sediment metagenome) tRNA-Thr". It matches the Rfam family "tRNA". From Rfam's summary of the family: Transfer RNA (tRNA) molecules are approximately 80 nucleotides in length. Their secondary structure includes four short double-helical elements and three loops (D, anti-codon, and T loops). Further hydrogen bonds mediate the characteristic L-shaped molecular structure. tRNAs have two regions of fundamental functional importance: the anti-codon, which is responsible for specific mRNA codon recognition, and the 3' end, to which the tRNAs corresponding amino acid is attached (by aminoacyl-tRNA synthetases). tRNAs cope with the degeneracy of the genetic code in two manners: having more than one tRNA (with a specific anti-codon) for a particular amino acid; and 'wobble' base-pairing, i.e. permitting non-standard base-pairing at the 3rd anti-codon position. The record is from RNAcentral. Lineage: Bacteria; Candidatus Amesiibacteriota.
GCCACCUUAGCUCAGCUGGCAGAGCAGUGCUUUCGUAAAGCAAAGGUCCAGGGUUCGAUCCCCUGAGGUGGCUCAA